CUUUCUACCUUUGGGUUAGCCUUAACUGAUUAAAAUUUAAUAUAUCGCAUAUUCUAUACCCAUUCCGACUUGAGUUUGAUUUGAGUAAAGCCUUAAAUAUCAGAUAAACUUAUCCUCAACCGUUACAAUACUUAAAAUACCUUGUGCAUUUUAAGAAAAUAACGUCCCACACAAAUUGAGCUCAACAAUAUCCAUAAAACACUAUUAAUUUUGUU
RNAcentral lists this long non-coding RNA (215 nucleotides) under Elaeis guineensis (African oil palm). Its description in RNAcentral is "long non-coding RNA (EGUI_LNC029250)". The record is from RNAcentral. Lineage: Eukaryota; Viridiplantae; Streptophyta; Magnoliopsida; Arecales; Arecaceae.